CAGCCGUAAACUAUGCUCGCUAGGUGUCAGGCAUGGCGCGACCGUGUCUGGUGCCGCAGGGAAGCCGUGAAGCGAGCCACCUGGGAAGUACGGCCGCAAGGCUGAAACUUAAAGGAAUUGGCGGGGGAGCACCACAACAGGUGGAGCCUGCGGUUUAAUUGGACUCAACGCCGGGAAGCUCACCAGGGGUGACAGCAGAAUGAUGGCCAGGUUGAUGACCUUGCUUGACAAGCUGAGAGGAGGUGCAUGGCGUGUGACUGU
RNAcentral lists this ribosomal RNA (261 nucleotides) under uncultured archaeon. RNAcentral's name for it is "partial 16S ribosomal RNA". It matches the Rfam family "Archaeal small subunit ribosomal RNA", at positions 748 to 1008 of the family's 1478-position model. The record is from RNAcentral.